Molecule: ribosomal RNA, 274 nt
Filed under: uncultured bacterium
Lineage: Bacteria
Description: partial 16S ribosomal RNA
Rfam family: Bacterial small subunit ribosomal RNA
Source: RNAcentral
UACGAAGGGGGCUAGCGUUGCUCGGAAUCACUGGGCGUAAAGGGUGCGUAGGCGGGUCUUUAAGUCAGGGGUGAAAUCCUGGAGCUCAACUCCAGAACUGCCCUUUGAUACUGAGGAUCUUGAGUUCGGGAGAGGUGAGUGGAACUGCGAGUGUAGAGGUGAAAUUCGUAGAUAUUCGCAAGAACACCAGUGGCGAAGGCGGCUCACUGGCCCGAUACUGACGCUGAGGCACGAAAGCGUGGGGAGCAAACAGGGAUUAGAUACCCCUAGUACG